RNAcentral lists this unclassified non-coding RNA (432 nucleotides) under soil metagenome. Its description in RNAcentral is "partial contains 5.8S ribosomal RNA, internal transcribed spacer 2, and large subunit ribosomal RNA". The stretch from base 1 to 120 matches the Rfam family "5.8S ribosomal RNA", at positions 35 to 154 of the family's 154-position model. The record is from RNAcentral.
GAUGAAGAACGUAGCGAAAUGCGAUACGUAAUGUGAAUUGCAGAAUUCAGUGAAUCAUCGAAUCUUUGAACGCAUAUUGCGCUCUCUGGUAUUCCGGAGAGCAUGCUUGUUUGAGUAUCAGUAAACACCUCAACUUCCAUAUCUUUUUUGAAAUUGGAGUUGGACUUGAGUGAUCCCAACGCUUUUCCUCACCGAAAAGUGGCGGGUUACUUGAAAUGCAGGUGCAGCUGGACUUUUCUCUGAGCUAUAAGCAUAUCUAUUUAGUCUGCCUAAAAACAGAUUAUUACCUUUGCUGCAGCUAACAUAAAGGAGAUUAGUUCUUGUGCUGACUGAUGCAGGAUUCACAAAGACAGGCUUCGGCCGACUUUGUAAACUCGAUCUCAAAUCAAGUAAGACUACCCGCUGAACUUAAGCAUAUCAAUAAGCGGAGGA